Molecule: ribosomal RNA, 497 nt
Filed under: uncultured bacterium
Lineage: Bacteria
Description: partial 16S ribosomal RNA
Rfam family: Bacterial small subunit ribosomal RNA
Source: RNAcentral
GAUGAACGCUGGCGGCGUGCCUAAUACAUGCAAGUCGAGCGAACAGACGAGGAGCUUGCUCCUCUGACGUUAGCGGCGGACGGGUGAGUAACACGUGGAUAACCUACCUAUAAGACUGGGAUAACUUCGGGAAACCGGAGCUAAUACCGGAUAAUAUAUUGAACCGCAUGGUUCAAUAGUGAAAGACGGUUUUGCUGUCACUUAUAGAUGGAUCGGCGCCGCAUUAGCUAGUUGGUAAGGUAACGGCUUACCAAGGCAACGAUGCGUAGCCGACCUGAGAGGGUGAUCGGCCACACUGGAACUGGGACACGGUCCAGACUCCUACGGGAGGCAGCAGUAGGGAAUCUUCCGCAGUGGGCGAAAGCCUGACGGAGCAACGCCGCGUGAGUGAUGAAGGUCUUCGGAUCGUAAAACUCUGUUAUUAGGGAAGAACAAAUGUGUAAGUAACUAUGCACGUCUUGACGGUACCUAAUCAGAAAGCCACGGCUAACUACGUG